RNAcentral lists this ribosomal RNA (254 nucleotides) under uncultured bacterium. Its description in RNAcentral is "partial 16S ribosomal RNA". It matches the Rfam family "Bacterial small subunit ribosomal RNA", at positions 524 to 776 of the family's 1533-position model. The record is from RNAcentral.
CACGUAGGGGGCGAGCGUUGUCCGGAAUCAUUGGGCGUAAAGAGCUCGUAGGCGGCUCAGUAAGUCGGGUGUGAAACCCUCAGGCUCAACCUGGGGACGCCACCCGAUACUGCUGUGGCUAGAGUCCAGUAGGGGAGUGUGGAAUUCCCGGUGUAGCGGUGAAAUGCGCAGAUAUCGGGAGGAACACCAGCGGCGAAGGCGGCACUCUGGGCUGGAACUGACGCUGAGACGCGAAAGCGUGGGGAGCGAACAGG